This 433-nucleotide ribosomal RNA is filed under the name uncultured bacterium. RNAcentral's name for it is "partial 16S ribosomal RNA". It matches the Rfam family "Bacterial small subunit ribosomal RNA", at positions 29 to 507 of the family's 1533-position model. The record is from RNAcentral.
AACGAACGCUGGCGGCAGGCCUAACACAUGCAAGUCGAGCGGACCUUUCGGGGUCAGCGGCGGACGGGUGAGUAACGCGUGGGAAUAUGCCCUUCUCUACGGAAUAGUCCUGGGAAACUGGGGGUAAUACCGUAUACGCCCUUUGGGGGAAAGAUUUAUCGGGGAAGGAUUAGCCCGCGUUGGAUUAGGUAGUUGGUGGGGUAAUGGCCUACCAAGCCGACGAUCCAUAGCUGGUUUGAGAGGAUGAUCAGCCACACUGGGACUGAGACACGGCCCAGACUCCUACGGGAGGCAGCAGUGGGGAAUCUUAGACAAGGGGGGCAACCCUGAUCGAGCCAUGCCGCGUGAGUGAUGAAGGCCUUAGGGUUGUAAAGCUCUUUCAGCUGGGAAGAUAAUGACGGUACCAGCAGAAGAAGCCCCGGCUAACUCCGUG